GCGUGAAGAACGGAGUAAGGUCUUCCAGGAGCUGGGGAGGGAGACGGUGGCUCUGAACGGCUGAGGGACUCUUGCAGCAGUGGUGCUGUGGUUCAGGACCUUGAUCGCACGCAGAUCAUAUUGCCAAGCGACAGAAGAGCUGGAACAAGUGCCUGGCUGCUGUGGUCUUUGCAAAAAGAAAGCUACUUUUAUACCUUUAUUUCCGGAAGAUACAGGCCUAUAGUGCUUUGGAGGUUCUCGAGCUGAAAUGCUAUGACAGCUAGAUCUCAGACACACAUUUUGGAUCGAGAAGAGGAAGCCAAUACUGAAAAUGGUGGAACCGAAAGACAGAAAAAAAAGAGAUUGCCUGCAUAUCUAUGAACAAUUAAUUUAUGACAGAGAAACCAAGGACAUCUAAUGGGUAAAGGACAGUCUCUUCAAAAAAUAGUUCUAGAAAAACUGGAUAGCCACAUGCCAAAGAAUGAAACUAGGCCGUUAUU
Mustela erminea (ermine) is the source of this 479-nucleotide long non-coding RNA. RefSeq lists it as uncharacterized. NCBI's taxonomy places the organism in Eukaryota, Metazoa, Chordata, Mammalia, Carnivora, Mustelidae. The record is from RefSeq and is a predicted model, not a curated record. The transcript has 4 exons.